This 937-nucleotide ribosomal RNA is filed under the name Penicillium sp. 2 FW2SW8. RNAcentral describes it as "SSU rRNA". It matches the Rfam family "Eukaryotic small subunit ribosomal RNA", at positions 59 to 1005 of the family's 1831-position model. Lineage: Eukaryota; Fungi; Ascomycota; Eurotiomycetes; Eurotiales; Aspergillaceae. The record is from RNAcentral.
CUAAGUAUAAGCACUUUAUACUGUGAAACUGCGAAUGGCUCAUUAAAUCAGUUAUCGUUUAUUUGAUAGUACCUUGCUACAUGGAUACCUGUGGUAAUUCUAGAGCUAAUACAUGCUAAAAACCCCGACUUCAGGAAGGGGUGUAUUUAUUAGAUAAAAAACCAACGCCCUUCGGGGCUCCUUGGUGAAUCAUAAUAACUUAACGAAUCGCAUGGCCUUGCGCCGGCGAUGGUUCAUUCAAAUUUCUGCCCUAUCAACUUUCGAUGGUAGGAUAGUGGCCUACCAUGGUGGCAACGGGUAACGGGGAAUUAGGGUUCGAUUCCGGAGAGGGAGCCUGAGAAACGGCUACCACAUCCAAGGAAGGCAGCAGGCGCGCAAAUUACCCAAUCCCGACACGGGGAGGUAGUGACAAUAAAUACUGAUACGGGGCUCUUUUGGGUCUCGUAAUUGGAAUGAGAACAAUUUAAAUCCCUUAACGAGGAACAAUUGGAGGGCAAGUCUGGUGCCAGCAGCCGCGGUAAUUCCAGCUCCAAUAGCGUAUAUUAAAGUUGUUGCAGUUAAAAAGCUCGUAGUUGAACCUUGGCCCUGGCUGGCCGGUCCGCCUCACCGCGAGUACUGGUCCGGCUGGGGCUUUCCUUCUGGGGAACCUCAUGGCCUUCACUGGCUGUGGGGGGAACCAGGACUUUUACUGUGAAAAAAUUAGAGUGUUCAAAGCAGGCCUUUGCUCGAAUACAUUAGCAUGGAAUAAUAGAAUAGGACGUGCGGUUCUAUUUUGUUGGUUUCUAGGACCGCCGUAAUGAUUAAUAGGGAUAGUCGGGGGCGUCAGUAUUCAGCUGUCAGAGGUGAAAUUCUUGGAUUUGCUGAAGACUAACUACUGCGAAAGCAUUCGCCAAGGAUGUUUUCAUUAAUCAGGGAACGAAAGUAAGGUGAUCGAGAC